Molecule: ribosomal RNA, 432 nt
Filed under: uncultured bacterium
Lineage: Bacteria
Description: partial 16S ribosomal RNA
Rfam family: Bacterial small subunit ribosomal RNA
Source: RNAcentral
AGCGAACGCUGGCGGCAGGCUUAACACAUGCAAGUCGAGCGGACCUUUCGGGGUCAGCGGCGGACGGGUGAGUAACGCGUGGGAACGUGCCUUCCGGUUCGGAAUAACCCUGGGAAACUAGGGCUAAUACCGGAUACGCCCUUAUGGGGAAAGGUUUACUGCCGGAAGAUCGGCCCGCGUCUGAUUAGCUAGUUGGUGGGGUAACGGCCUACCAAGGCGACGAUCAGUAGCUGGUCUGAGAGGAUGAUCAGCCACACUGGGACUGAGACACGGCCCAGACUCCUACGGGAGGCAGCAGUGGGGAAUAUUGGACAAUGGGCGCAAGCCUGAUCCAGCCAUGCCGCGUGAGUGAUGAAGGCCUUAGGGUUGUAAAGCUCUUUUAGCCGGGACGAUAAUGACGGUACCGGAGGAAUAAGCCCCGGCUAACUUCGU